RNAcentral lists this ribosomal RNA (442 nucleotides) under uncultured bacterium. Its description in RNAcentral is "bacterial SSU rRNA". It matches the Rfam family "Bacterial small subunit ribosomal RNA", at positions 958 to 1400 of the family's 1533-position model. The record is from RNAcentral.
AACGCGAAGAACCUUACCUGGGCUCGAAAUGUAGAGGAAUAUAUCAGAGAUGAUAUAGCUCGAAAGGGUCUUUAUAUAGGUGCUGCAUGGCUGUCGUCAGCUCGUGCCGUGAGGUGUUUGGUUAAGUCCAGCAACGAGCGCAACCCUUAUCGUUAGUUGCCAGCGCGUAAUGGCGGGAACUCUAACGAGACUGCCUGGGUUAACCAGGAGGAAGGUGAGGAUGACGUCAAGUCCGCAUGGCCUUUAUGUCCAGGGCUACACACGUGCUACAAUGGUCGGUACAGAAGGCAGCGAAACCGCAAGGUGGAGCAAAUCCUACAAAACCGAUCUCAGUUCAGAUUGUAGUCUGCAACUCGGCUACAUGAAGUUGGAAUUGCUAGUAAUGGCGUGUCAGCAACAACGCCGUGAAUACGUUCCCGGGCCUUGUACACACCGGUAUCUC